This 253-nucleotide ribosomal RNA is filed under the name uncultured bacterium. RNAcentral describes it as "partial 16S ribosomal RNA". It matches the Rfam family "Bacterial small subunit ribosomal RNA", at positions 524 to 776 of the family's 1533-position model. The record is from RNAcentral.
UACAGAGGUCCCAAGCGCUGUUCGGAUUCACUGGGCGUAAAGGGUGCGUAGGUGGUGAGGUAAGUCGGAUGUGAAAGCUCGGAGCUCAACUCCGAAAUGGCAUUGGAAACUACCUUGCUCGAGGGUUGGAGGGGGGACUGGAAUACUUGGUGUAGCAGUGAAAUGCGUAGAUAUCAAGUGGAACACCAGUGGCGAAGGCGAGUCCCUGGACAACUCCUGACACUGAGGCACGAAAGCUAGGGGAGCAAACAGG